AUGAACGCUAGCGGCAGGCCUAAUACAUGCAAGUCGAGGGAGAAGUCGUCUUCGGAUGAUGGGAACCGGCGAACGGGUGCGUAACACGUAUGCAAUCUGCCCCUGACUGGGGAAUAGCCCGGGGAAACUCGGAUUAAUACCCCAUAACGUUAUGAAAUGGCAUCAUUUUAUAACCAAAGUUCCGGCGGUCGGGGAUGAGCAUGCGGCCCAUUAGCUAGUUGGUGAGGUAAUGGCUCACCAAGGCAACGAUGGGUAGGGGGUCUGAGAGGAUGAUCCCCCACACUGGUACUGAGACACGGACCAGACUCCUACGGGAGGCAGCAGUAGGGAAUAUUGGGCAAUGGACGCAAGUCUGACCCAGCCAUGCCGCGUGCAGGAAGACAGCCCUAUGGGUCGUAAACUGCUUUUCUACGGGAAGAAACCCCCCGACGUGUCGAGGGCUGACGGUACCGUAGGAAUAAGGAUCGGCUAACUCCGU
Molecule: ribosomal RNA, 478 nt
Filed under: uncultured bacterium
Lineage: Bacteria
Description: bacterial SSU rRNA
Rfam family: Bacterial small subunit ribosomal RNA
Source: RNAcentral